Molecule: ribosomal RNA, 492 nt
Filed under: uncultured bacterium
Lineage: Bacteria
Description: partial 16S ribosomal RNA
Rfam family: Bacterial small subunit ribosomal RNA
Source: RNAcentral
GGGGGGGGGGGGGGGGGGGGGGGGGGGGGGGGGGGCGGGGGGGGGCGGAGGGGGGGCGUGCUCUUGCGGGGGGCGGGGGGCGGACGGGUGAGGGGUGCAUCGGACUCUGCGGUUUCGUGGGGGAUAACGUAGGGCAACUUACGCUCAUACCGCCUACGACCUGCGGGUGAGAGCAGGGGAUCUUCGGACCUUGCGCGAUUGACUGAGCCGAUGUCGGAUUAGCUAGUUGGCGGGGUAACGGCCCACCAAGGCGACGAUCCGUAGCUGGUCUGAGAGGAUGAUCAGCCACACUGGAACUGAGACACGGUCCAGACUCCUACGGGAGGCAGCAGUGGGGAAUAUUGGACAAUGGGCGCAAGCCUGAUCCAGCCAUACCGCGUGGGUGAAGAAGGCCUUCGGGUUGUAAAGCCCUUUUGUUGGGAAAGAAAAGCAGCAGGUUAAUACCCCGCUGUUCUGACGGUACCCAAAGAAUAAGCACCGGCUAACUUCGUG